GGCGGCUAUCAGCUCAACCCAAAAGCUAAACCAACACCCCCGUAGUAUCCUGAUUCUGGCUGGCAACCCAAGCUCUUUGGUCUUUAGCCCUGUUCCUGUUAUUGGUUGUUUGGAUUAGUCUCUUCACUGAAAACACCAUAGAGCUCACCAUCGAUUCUCAUCAAGUGAGGGCCGAGUCAUCUGAUUGAAUUUGGCGAGUGAAGGAGGAAGAGAUGUCGUUUAAGUUGAGGAGCGUGAAGGUGCCGGCGAACUCGGCGAGUCUGGAAGAGGCAAGGGCUCGGGUCUUCGAUUUCUUCAGAACGGCCUGCAGAUCCAUUCCCCAAAU
This 325-nucleotide unclassified non-coding RNA is filed under the name Hevea brasiliensis (rubber tree). Lineage: Eukaryota; Viridiplantae; Streptophyta; Magnoliopsida; Malpighiales; Euphorbiaceae. The record is from RNAcentral.